RNAcentral lists this ribosomal RNA (1041 nucleotides) under Scottnema lindsayae. RNAcentral describes it as "eukaryotic LSU rRNA". It matches the Rfam family "Eukaryotic large subunit ribosomal RNA", at positions 69 to 944 of the family's 3401-position model. The record is from RNAcentral. Lineage: Eukaryota; Metazoa; Nematoda; Chromadorea; Rhabditida; Cephalobidae.
CGAGGAUUCCCUUAGUAACGGCGAGUGAACGGGGAAGAGCCCAGCGCUAAAUCUCGACGCUCUAACGGGUGUCGAGAGGUGUAGCGUAUAGCAGGCGAUUUUCCUUGAUAGCUGUCGACUUAAGUUCUCCUUGACUGGGGUUCCAUAGAAGGUGAAAGGCCUGUUCAGUCGAUGGCUGUCUUGGAUUCCGCUCUGCUUGGAGUCGGGUUGUUUGGGAACGCAGCCCAAAUUUGGUGGUAAACUUCAUCUAAGGCUAAAUACGGCCACGAAACCGAUAGCAAACAAGUACCGUGAGGGAAAGUUGAAAAGUACUUUGAAGAGAGAGUUCAAGAGGACGUGAAACCGGUAGGAUGGAAACGGAUAGAGCCAACGAACAAGCCCGUAUUCAGCUAGUCGGCUUCGUGCGGCAUGCUUGGAUCUCCCGUAUGGGGAUCUGAGUGUGUGCGGCAUGCGGCUGGCUAGUGCAUUUGCGGGUGAUGUGCGCUGAGGCGUGUGGUGGAGUGCUGCAAACUGCGUAGAGAGGCCUCGUCUUCGGACUUGGAACCUAUGCGUGGGGAGUAGUGUUUCUGCUGCAUGUAGAUAUGCGGUUAGGUGCAAUCGCACUGCUGCGUUGUCGGGUCGGUUCGUUGGGCGGUCGCAUGCGACUUGCUCUUUGGGCUGGCUUUGGUGGCGUAGUAGUGCCCUAAUCGAUCCUCGGUGUAAAAGUUGGUUAUCUCUCCGACCCGUCUUGAAACACGGACCAAGGAGUCUAGCGUAUGCGCGAGUCAUUGGGUGGAAAACCCAUAGGCGAAAUGAAAGUGAAGGCAUCUUCCGAUGCUGAUAUGCGAUCCGUAGUGCUUCGGCGCUGCGGAGCAGCAUAGCCCCGUCUCUACCGCUUGCGGUGGGGCGGAGGUAGAGCGUAUUCGCUGGUACCCGAAAGAUGGUGAACUAUGCCUGAGCAGGAUGAAGCCAGAGGAAACUCUGGUGGAGGUCCGAAGCGCUUCUGACGUGCAAAUCGAUCGUCUGACUUGGGUAUAGGGGCGAAAGACUAAUCGAACCAUC